Molecule: long non-coding RNA, 346 nt
Organism: Vicia villosa (hairy vetch)
Lineage: Eukaryota; Viridiplantae; Streptophyta; Magnoliopsida; Fabales; Fabaceae
Exons: 3
Source: RefSeq, a predicted model, not a curated record
UGAUCAAAUACUUUUUUUUACUUGUUAUAUACAAAGGAGAAAAAAAUAUGACUAAGUUUAUCCAUUUUGUUUAUAUUAUGAUCUUAUUUUCCUUUCCAUAUUUUGUAGUAACCCAACUUGCUAUAAAAUGGUGUAAAUUGGACAUGGAUUGUCCAUGGGACUAUUGUCGUCCUGGUCGAAUUGCAGCAUGCAUGUUUGGAAUGUGUAAUUGUGUUACCAGAUAUUUUCGAUAUGAUCAUAAAAAUUAAUUAAUGGAACUUCACAUGUGAGAGAGGAUGAAGAAGCUUAUGCAUAGUUUAUUUUUUCACUUUAUUUCGUAUUUUAGUUUUGUAGUACUAGAUGGCCU